AAGGUGCCACAAGUACUCCUUUUCUUUUUGCGAAUACAGACUAACACAGCUGCUACUCUGAAACCUGAUGAACUAUAAUAACUGAAAUAAAUUUCUGAGAUGUACAGAAAUUUACUCUUGGCCAAAAAAUGUCAAAACUGUUGGAGGUAGGUUGUAUUUGAAUACUGGACUGACACAGAGUAUACAAUAACUCUAGCCAAAAAAAAAAAAAAGUCUUGAAAUGUAUUCCACUUUAUCCUUCGAUUACAUUUUUAUUUUAGGGCCCUUUAGAUUAGUGCCAAUUUUUAGUCAGAACUUAGCAUUGACUAGUUUCAGCAUAAUGACUUGUACUUUAUUAGCUUUCUUCUAUGAUAUUACAUGUUUAAAUCUUACAAAUAUAAGUCAGCGGCUGUGGAAGUCCCAGGGAACAUAUUUUAUUUCAGAAACACCAUGUGGCAGUCUUGCGGAAAUGACUUUUUCUUUGGACUUUCCACUUUGCAGGAAAUUACAAAAAAAAAUUGGUUUCAUUCUGAAUCACAACGUAACCAAAUUUCAAAAUAUCAAAAUUUCCCCAAAAUUAAAAAUCCCAAGUUUUGGCCAUCUCCACUCAAGUAAUCUGGAUUCAGUUCUUGGUUCUCCUGAAGAUUUUAUGUGCGACUUUGGGCAAAACACUUGCAGUGGAUUUUCAAGAGCAUUUAGAAGUCAAUGGUAAUUUUACUGUUGAUUUCUGUGGUAGUGGAGCUAAGCAAAUGCUAAGUAUUUUUGAAAAACACCAGUGUCUCUGUGCCUCAAUUCCCCAUUUUCGCACCCUUUGUGUUUCUUGUCUAUUUACAAUGUAAUCUCUUCUGUGCAAGGAUUGCUAUGUAUCUAUGUCUUACUAUGUGUUUGUAUGGCAUAAUGGUACUCCGGUCUUGGUGGACCCUCUAGGUACUAUUAUAAUGCAAAUGAAGAAAUAACAACAAUUGUAGUAGUAGUCAUGAAGGGCUUAAUUAUGCCUUAGUGCUGGGUCAGCUGGGAGACUGGGUGGUGGAAUUACAGCUGCAUGGAUCCAUAGAGGUGAUGCAGUCAGCAAAUGUAAGGGUCAAGGCUGCAGUACCUCCCAUGGAGUUACUCCCCCUUCAUUUGGACAGACUUCUCCAACAGAGAGCUCAAGUACUCAGCUGGGUGUUGAGUCCAGGUUUUACCAUUAAGAUUGAGCAAAUUCACUAAAUUAAGCACUUGGAGAGAGACAUGGUAUAAGAACACAGACAGACAGAUCCGUAAUAGAACAAAACCCUACAUCCUCUUUACACCUCUUCAGUCCCCAACUCUUAUCCAUCACAAUUGCACAUAUGGCUUAUGAGUCAACAGGAGUCCCCAACUAGUUAUCAAAUUGCACUAGUGAUCACAGAACGAUCAAUUCACCUUGUCUAGCAAAGUGAGUCUUUCAUAUAUUGCAAUAUCGAACAGAUCAUUGAUCCAAGUGUCCAUCCAAAGGGAUGCAAAGUAUUAGCUUCUUAGCUGUCACUGAUCAAGAAAUUAUUUUCCUGACUUUGAAGUAUAUAAUUUUGCAAACAUAAUGCUCUCAACAUUUUUGGUAUGGCAUGUGUUUAAAUUGUAUAGUCAAUUGCUUGACCACAUUUUGGUUCUUUGUUUUUUUUUUAAAUGAAAUAUACUCAAGAGACUAAAUAACCAAUGUUAGUCAGGCUUAUUAUUAUGUUACAGGGAAAAGGUUCUGUACGAUGCCAGUGUCAAAGAGCAUCAAUGUUACAUUCACCUUAUAUGGAAGAUAUGCCCUGCAAAGUUACAUCCCUAAAACCAUCUUUUUAUAACCUACUUAUUUACCAGUAAAAGAUACUAUAUACUUCACCUGAAACUGAACUCAAUCUACUUUUUACCUUGUUUGUUUCUGGUACCAUGGUGUACCCCUUUAUCUUUUGUUCUGAACCAGGCAUUUCAGGUCAUGAUGUAGCCUUAUCUUUGUUCUGAGCACAUGCAUUCCAGGUACUAAGAGGCAUGAAGACACCUCCUAGGCCUGUACUAGAAUAAAUAGGUUUGUGAGGGUAACUCCCUUUCUGUUGCUAUGAAGCAACUAUUGUAUGUCGUGAUACUGACAGUUUUCCUAUCUACUUAAGCCAAAACUUCCUCCAGCUAAUGCAAGUUGUCAUAGAAUACUUAGCAUAAGUGAACAGGAUUACAAUAAAGGUACAGGCCUAUAUAACUGAUAUUAAUACUUAAUAUGUAUACUUAAAUGCUUGGAAUAUAUGUGGUAGGAAGUAUUAUCAGCAUAAUAUAUAGGUAUGCUAGCCAGCAUAUAUUAGUCAACACAUGUAUAAUAUUAAAUUAUGUUUAUUUUGUGGUUACAACAGUUGUGAAUAGGAUAAGUGAAAUGAGAGUAAAUAUUCUGAGAGUCUACCUUACAAGUGCACAUGGGUAUUAAGAUGGUACUUGUGGAGCACUUAUUCUCAACAAUUUGUCUAAAAUCUCUUAAGCAGACCUAAUGAGCUCCUAUAACUUUAUCUCCAAAUUAGAGGCCUAUGACCUGGGUUUCUUUUGGAACAAACCAUUACCAAGUCCUUAAGUCAGGUGCAAAGAAACAAAAAAAGUUUUUUGUUUGUUUUUUUUAUUAUGAAUUAUUAUUAUUAGGCUGUCAUCCCCUUCAGGCAGAUCCUCUGCAAGAAGGCUGCUGAGGGAAUACAGAAGAUACAUGGGGAGGGAAUGGAGAUGAGCAAGGAGCCAAGAGGAACUGGAGAGAUGUCAGAGGACCAAAAGGACAUAGAUGGAAAGCAGGAGAUGGAGAGGAGACAGGAGGGCUUGAUAUUGAUUUUGCCAUAUGUUCCAUGGAGUACACAAGACAACUAGAAUUGAGCCUAAGAGCUACAUGUUUCUGACCUCAAUCCAAACCAGCAGAUAUAUACAAAAGCAGACAGAUUUGUUACUACAUUGUGUCCUUUUUGUCUUGAUUAUGUGGAGACAGAUUGAGUCUUUCUUACGCACACACACACACACAGAGCAUUAUUGCUUUUUUGUUUGUUUUCUUAUAAAACUGCCUUUUUUAUAAAGUUAAGUUAGAACUAUAAAUUUGAUAGAAGUACAGUAAAUAUUUUUACAAAUGAAAAUGUUUUAAAAUGUAUAUUAAUUAUAAAACAUUAACAAACAACUCUGGAAAAA
Molecule: long non-coding RNA, 3129 nt
Organism: Dermochelys coriacea (leatherback sea turtle)
Lineage: Eukaryota; Metazoa; Chordata; Testudines; Dermochelyidae
Exons: 2
Source: RefSeq, a predicted model, not a curated record